This 5231-nucleotide long non-coding RNA is filed under the name Nicotiana tabacum (common tobacco). RNAcentral describes it as "long non-coding RNA (NTAB_LNC014498)". The record is from RNAcentral. Lineage: Eukaryota; Viridiplantae; Streptophyta; Magnoliopsida; Solanales; Solanaceae.
AGAAGAGUAAAGUGCUCCACUGAGAAGACUUCGAUAUAAUUGAUGUUGUCUGAACAUCUUUUGGACACACAGCUGGGCCUACCGGGUUAUUGGGCUUUUCACAAUAUUUAGAGUUUGGGUUAUUAGUGUUGGGCCAACUGAAGAUGCAGCCAUUUUUUAUUUUUACACAUUCUUUUUAUUAUUGUAAAUAGCAUGUGAAUAGUUAUAGAAUAACCAAUAGAAUAGAGAUAAGUGUACAGGUGGUUAUUUCUUAGAUUCCUUUUGUUGUAGAUAAAUAGUACACUGUACAGUGCUGAUUUCUUUCAAUAUAGAAAAUACACAAUAUUUUCUCAAAUCAGAUUUCUUCAUUUCUUUCAUGGUAUCAAAGCAGUGAGCUCGAUCCAACAGUUCAUCCAUCAAAUUUUUUUUAUAUCAAAAUUCAAUCUCAAAUCAGUAGCCUAAGAUGGUUGAAACAACUAUAACUCCUACUGCUGAAGCAAGCAGUGUUGCCAAAUUUGUAGCCUAUGAUGCUAAUCAUCCCUAUCAUCUCAACAGUUCUGUCUCGCCUGGAAUGACCUUAGUGAACUCUGUAUUUGAAGGAAGAGGAUAUCCAGGAUGGAGAAGAACCAUUCUCCUGUCUUUAUCAGCCAAGAAGAAGAUUGGUUUUAUCAAUGGAGGCUGUCGACCUCUAGAUCUGAAGUCCCCAGAGUAUGAGCAAUGGAGUUGUGUGAAUGACAUGGUCAUCUCUUGGAUCCUAAAUGCUCUUUCAAAUUACAUUGCAGAUAGUGUGAUCUACUCCAAGACUGCAAAGGACCUUUGGGAGAGUCUUGAGCAAAGAUUUGGAAGAUCCAAUGGAGCCAAGCUAUAUCAUCUGCAAAAGGAAUUAUUAGGAUUAGCACAAGGAAAUUGUGACAUUGCAGGAUACUUUACUAAAAUCAAGAGAUUAUGGGAUGAAUUAGAUGCCUUGAAUGUUAUCAUAUGUUGUUCUUGUGUUUGUGAAAGAAAGGCAAAGCUAACAAAAUCGCUGGAAGAUCAGAGAUUGAUUCAAUUCCUAAUGGGUCUAAAUGACACCUAUGCUCAGGCAAGAGGGAACAUUCUUAUGAUGAAUCAUCUACCUAGCAUGGAUGUUGCUUAUUCACUCCUCCUGCAAGAUGAGAAUCAAAGAAAAGUUUAUGCUAAUGCACAAUUCAAUUCUCAGUCAGUGUCAUUCAUGGUAGUAGGAGAAGACAAGCUACCUAAUGCACAACUUCUAGCUGACUUUACAGCUUUCAUGAGCACAGGACAAGGCAAGAAUUUUCAAAGAAGCAGAAAUCAAGCACAAAGAGGAGGAGGCAUAGGGCCCAAGUUCAACAACACAGGGCAGAGGUUUGCUAAGCCUCAGCAGAAAUUCAAAGGGAGGAAGAAGUAUAAUCCAAACGUGACCUGUUCUUAUUGUGGAAAAACAAGAUAUUCUCAAAAAGACUGCUACAGGAUCAUUGGUUUCCCAGAAGAUUUUGAGUUUACAAAUCAGAAAGGGUAUCAGAAUCAAAUCAAAGGAAAUACAGUACUAAUAUAUGAAGAACAUGAAGGAUCAGCAGGACAAAACAGUGAACACAACAACAAUUUUGGUCAGCAACUCAGCAAGGAAUAGGUAGCAGAAAUGAUGCAGAUGUAUAAGCAGGCAAAGCUAACACAUGGAGGAAAUAAUAGGAUCAAUGCUAAUGCAGUUGCUGGUACAAUUCUAAAAUAUUCAAGUUCAGUAUUUACUACUCUAAAAUCAGACACCUAGAUCAUUGAUUUAGGUGCCUCAGAGCACAUGUGUUUUGAUCCAAAUUCUUUCUUGUUUUUAACUCCUCUCCCUACACCUUUAAACAUCAGUUUGCCUAACUCUUUCAAGGUAAUUGUUACUCAUAUAGGAAGUAUCUCUAUUCUACCUGUUCAUACUCUGAACAAUAUACUGCAUGUUCCAGAGUUCAAAUACAAUUUGUUAUCAGUUCAUAGAAUUUGUCUUCAAUUCAAAUAUGAUGUAUUGUUCACAUCUGUUGAGUGUGUGUUGCAGGGACUUUCAAUGAAGAGUCCUCAAGCUUUUGGUGAAGUUAGAGAGGGACUCUAUUUAUUGGAACCAAAUAGUGUCAAGUCUAAGGGUGUUUUUAGUAAUGAUGUAUUUUCAAUUUCAAAAGGAAGCAAUUCCAUUUCAAAGUCAGUUUCCUUUUCUAGUUCAAUUCAAGCUAAUGUUGUUAGUGAUUUUAAGCUUUGGCAUGUAAGGUUGGGACACCUCCCAUUUUCAGCAAUAAAACAUUUAGAAUUUCUUCAUUGUAAACCAGAUUCUGCUUUUAUCUGUAAUGUUUGUCCUAGGGCUAAACAAACUAGAAAUCCUUUUCCUGUUAGUACAAUAAGGUCCAAACAAAUAUUUGAACUCAUUCAUGUUGACACAUGGGGACCCUAUAGGUCAAACAUCUACAAUGGUUUCAGAUAUUUUCUAACUAUAGUAGAUGACUAUAGUAGAGGAACAUGGACAUUCUUGUUAAAUACAAAGAGUAAUGCUUUUCCUAUGCUCAAAGUUUUUCUGUCUAUGGUUGAAAGACAAUUUGAUGUAAAGGUGAAAAUCAUAAGGUCUGACAAUGCACUAGAAUUGGGAAAAGGAACACAAGAGGCAGCUUAUCUUUCCUUUCAAGGAAUUCUACACCAAUUGUCUUGUGUAGCAACUCCUCAACAAAGUAGGAUUGUUAAGAGAAAACAUAGACACCUCUUAGAAACCUCAAGGGGCUUAAUGUUUCAGUCUAAACUGCCUAUGAAAUAUUGGGGGAAGUCUAUCCUAACUGCUACACACCUCAUUAAUAGGAUGCUUUCUAGUGUACUCAAUGGAAAGACACCAUAUGAGGUUUUGUUUCAGAAAAAGCCUAAGUAUGAUUACUUGAGGAAUUUUGGUUGUCUUUUUUAUGCUUCAACACUGGCUCAAGGAAGAGAGAAAUUUGAUGAGAGGGCAACAACUUGUAUCUUACUUGGGUAUCCCCUCCAUCAGAAGGGGUAUAAGUUGUUGGAAUUGAAAACAGGAAAGGUAUUUGUGUCAAGGGAUGUGAAGUUCCAUGAAUCACAUUUCCCCUUUGUUGAAAACAAGUCUUCAUACCAACCCAUAUUCCCAAAUCCAACUCUCACCACAGAACCUACACAUCCACAACCAUCAGAUGAUCAAAUCUCACCCAUUCUUUUAGAGCCUUAGAAUUCUGACAGUUUUUCCUCACCCUCAUCUCCACAUACUUGUACUCAACAGUCUCCCUCACAACAGUCUCCUAGUCCAGCCUCUUUUAAACCUAUCCUAGACACAUCAUAUCUCACCUCACCUACCCAAGCAUGUCAACAGCCCACACCAGUGAGAAGAUCAGGAAGGGUAUCUAAUCAACCAGUUUAUUUGAAGGACUAUGUGUGCAGCAACAUCAUGUUCACAGAUGUAGAAGCUGCUUGUUUCAAUCAACCAAGUAAACCUAGACAAUACUAUUUUCCUCCCUAUCACCUAAUAAUCAACACAUCAUACAAUCUAUUUCUACACUCACUGAACCUACCACUUUUUCUCAAGCUUGUCAAUAUCCAGGUUGGAUAGAGGCAAUGGAAUAAAAAAUCAAGGCCCUAGAAGACAAUAACACAUGGGAUGUGGUUGAAUUGCCUAAAGGAAAAAAGCUCUACCUUACAAAUGGGUAUAUAAGGUAAAGCACCUCUCAGAUGGAAUUAUUGAAAGAUUGAAGGCCAGACUAGUAGUCAGGGAGGAUAUUCAAAGAGAAGGGAUAGACUAUAGUGAGACUUUUUUACCAGUUGUGAAAAUGACAACUAUAAUGUGUUUGCUCACUAUAGCAGCCAAGAGAGAUUGGAAUGUCUCUCAAUUGAAUGUCAACAAUGCAUUCUUGCAUGGAGAUCUUCAGGAAGUGGUAUACAUGAAAUUUCCCUCAAGUGUUACACCUCCUAGUCCUAAACAUGUAUGUCUUCUCAGAAAAUUAUUGUAUGGUUUGAAGCAAGCUUCUAGGCAAUGGUAUGCCAGGCUUGCUGGAGCUUUGAGUUUUAAAGGAUAUUCAUCAUCAUUAAAUGAUUAUUCUUUAUUUUUUAAAUGUAUAGGAAAGUUAAUUUCUAUUCUAGCUGUAUAUGUAGAUGAUAUUUUACUUACUGGAAAUGAUUUAGAAGAAAUUCAGCAUAUCAAAGGUUUUCUCAAUACUGAAUUCAAGGUCAAAAAUUUAGGGAACAUACAUUAUUUUCUAGGAAUGGAAAUUUUGCGAGAAAAGGAAUGAUUCAUUCUGAAUCAAAGGAAAUUUACCUUAGAUAUGCUACAGGAAUUUGAUGUCUCUCACUUGAAACCAGUUAGCUCUCCCCCGGAUCCCUCUUCCAAGCUUGACUCUGAUGAUGGACGACCUUUGGAAAAUCCCAGUCUUUCGUCAUUUGGUUGGAAAGUUGAAUUACUUAACCAAUACUCGUCCAGACCUCUCGUUUGCAGUUCUCUCUCUCAGUCAGUACAUGCAGAGGCCCUGUAUUUCUCAUUUCACUACUGCAUUGAGAGUUUUGAAGUAUCUGAGUGCAGAUCCGGGUCAGGGUAUUCUUCUUUCAGCUGCACCAUCCUUUUCUCUGCUUACAUUCUGCGAUGCAGAUUGGGCUUCUUGUAAGGAAUCCAGAAUAUAUGUCAAUGGCUAUUUCAUCACACUUGGAGGAGUACCCAUUUUCUGGAAAUCAAAGAAACAAGUUUCAAUAUCUUUGUCAUUAGGAGAGGCGGAAUACAGAUCUAUGAGACGAGUUACAACAGAAUUUACUUGGCUUGUUCGACUCCUUGAAGAUCUUUCUGCACCAGUGGCUCUUCCCAUUCCACUUCAUUCUGAUAGCAAAACAGCUAUACAUAUCACUCGUAAUCCCGCUUUUCAUGAACGGACAAAACAUGUGGAGAUAGAUUGUCAUUUUGUCCGUCAACAAUUCCUUUCUGGGCUAAUCAGUCUGUCUUUUGUUCCUUCUAAAGAUCAAUUGGCGGAUCUCUUCAUUAAGUCACUUUCAGGGGUUUCUCAUUCACAGAUUUUGAGCAAGUUAGGGGUCACAAGGUUACCCUCUAACUUGAGGGGGGAUGUUGAGAAGAAGAAACCACAUCCUAAUUAUAUGAUUCAUGGAGCUAUCAAGGAGAAAGAAGAAGAAACGAAGGAGAUGAAGAAGAAGAAGAAGAAGAAGAAUAAAGUAGAGAUGCAGAAGAAGAGUAAAAUGCUCCACUGAGAAGACUUCGAUAUAAUUGAUGUUGUCUAAACAUCUUUUGG